ACAGGAUGUUGCUGAAGACAAAGACUGCGGAAACAGUGACAUCAAUGAACUCAGAGGCCAGAACUACAAAAGGAAAUGAGAAGUCACAAAAGGCAAAUUUUAAUUCCUUCAGAUUUCUUCUGUAUGUGCCAGGGUAUGGAGGGCCAUUCUGACUCCACAUAAACAUGAGGAAGAUUUUAACAACUAUCGUCUAAGAUUAAACAUGCAAUUUACAAAUCAUUGAUUGAGAUGACUUCUCCUUUCUAAUGGAUGCUUUCCUUUGGCUUUGACUUUCUUUGAUGGUUUUCUAUAAUUCAACCUCUAGAUUUGGAGAGCUAUUACCUAUUUGUCAAGUUUGUAGAAUAUAGAAGUGGAUGAUGUAGGCUCAAUGUUGGGGCUAUAAAUAACAGUAUUGCAAAUAAAUUUUAAAAAGUACCCCCUACCAAAACAUGUAUUUUCUGCAACGUAUGUUUGAGAUACUGUGCUUGUGACAGGUGAAAGGUAUACUCACCAUUCUUCUCUUGCUUCUUAAAGACAUGGGUAAUAAUUGGAUAAAUUAUAGAGUUAAGUAAAGGACAAACCAUUAGACUUGGCUGUACUAUAAAAGUGGGGAGCAGACAGUGAUUUGAAAUCACAGAGAAAAAUGUCAAAGCUUACUAAGGC
This 642-nucleotide long non-coding RNA is filed under the name Marmota monax (woodchuck). Lineage: Eukaryota; Metazoa; Chordata; Mammalia; Rodentia; Sciuridae. The record is from RNAcentral.